UCUAGAGUUUGAUCAUGGCUCAGGAUGAACGCUAGCGGGAGGCCUAACACAUGCAAGCCGAGCGGUAGAAGAUCUUCGGAUCUUUGAGAGCGGCGUACGGGUGCGGAACACGUGUGCAACCUGCCUUUAUCAGGGGGAUAGCCUUUCGAAAGGAAGAUUAAUACCCCAUAAUAUAAUGAGUGGCAUCACUUAUUAUUGAAAACUCCGGUGGAUAGAGAUGGGCACGCGCAAGAUUAGAUAGUUGGUAGGGUAACGGCCUACCAAGUCAGUGAUCUUUAGGGGGCCUGAGAGGGUGAUCCCCCACACUGGUACUGAGACACGGACCAGACUCCUACGGGAGGCAGCAGUGAGGAAUAUUGGACAAUGGGUGAGAGCCUGAUCCAGCCAUCCCGCGUGAAGGACGACGGCCCUAUGGGUUGUAAACUUCUUUUGUAUAGGGAUAAACCUUUCCACGUGUGGAAAGCUGAAGGUACUAUACGAAUAAGCACCGGCUAACUCCGUGCCAGCAGCCGCGGUAAUACGGAGGGUGCAAGCGUUAUCCGGAUUUAUUGGGUUUAAAGGGUCCGUAGGCGGAUCUGUAAGUCAGUGGUGAAAUCUCAUAGCUUAACUAUGAAACUGCCAUUGAUACUGCAGGUCUUGAGUAAAGUAGAAGUGGCUGGAAUAAGUAGUGUAGCGGUGAAAUGCAUAGAUAUUACUUAGAACACCAAUUGCGAAGGCAGGUCACUAUGUUUUAACUGACGCUGAUGGACGAAAGCGUGGGGAGCGAACAGGAUUAGAUACCCUGGUAGUCCACGCCGUAAACGAUGCUAACUCGUUUUUGGGUUUUCGGAUUCAGAGACUAAGCGAAAGUGAUAAGUUAGCCACCUGGGGAGUACGUUCGCAAGAAUGAAACUCAAAGGAAUUGACGGGGGCCCGUACAAGCGGUGGAUUAUGUGGUUUAAUUCGAUGAUACGCGAGGAACCUUACCAAGGCUUAAAUGGGAAUUGACAGGUUUAGAAAUAGACUUUUCUUCGGACAAUUUUCAAGGUGCUGCAUGGUUGUCGUCAGCUCGUGCCGUGAGGUGUUAGGUUAAGUCCUGCAACGAGCGCAACCCCUGUCACUAGUUGCCAUCAUUCAGUUGGGGACUCUAGUGAGACUGCCUACGCAAGUAGAGAGGAAGGUGGGGAUGACGUCAAAUCAUCACGGCCCUUACGCCUUGGGCCACACACGUAAUACAAUGGCCGGUACAGAGGGCAGCUACCUAGCGAUAGGAUGCGAAUCUCGAAAGCCGGUCUCAGUUCGGAUUGGAGUCUGCAACUCGACUCUAUGAAGCUGGAAUCGCUAGUAAUCGCGCAUCAGCCAUGGCGCGGUGAAUACGUUCCCGGGCCUUGUACACACCGCCCGUCACAC
This 1389-nucleotide ribosomal RNA is filed under the name Chryseobacterium sp. Ag12. Its description in RNAcentral is "16S ribosomal RNA". It matches the Rfam family "Bacterial small subunit ribosomal RNA". Lineage: Bacteria; Pseudomonadati; Bacteroidota; Flavobacteriia; Flavobacteriales; Weeksellaceae. The record is from RNAcentral.